UGAGGAAUAUUGGUCAAUGGGCGAGAGCCUGAACCAGCCAAGUCGCGUGAGGGAAGACGGUCCUAUGGAUUGUAAAACCUCUUUUGCCGGGGAGCAAAGAGCGGCACGUGUGCCGCGCCGAGAGUACCCGGAAGAAAAAGCAUCGGCUAACUCCGUGCC
This 159-nucleotide ribosomal RNA is filed under the name uncultured bacterium. Its description in RNAcentral is "partial 16S ribosomal RNA". It matches the Rfam family "Bacterial small subunit ribosomal RNA", at positions 355 to 509 of the family's 1533-position model. The record is from RNAcentral.